Long non-coding RNA from Globicephala melas (long-finned pilot whale), 10457 nucleotides. RefSeq lists it as uncharacterized. Lineage: Eukaryota; Metazoa; Chordata; Mammalia; Artiodactyla; Delphinidae. The record is from RefSeq and is a predicted model, not a curated record.
GGUCUCCUCUGCGCCCUGAGUUGCACGAGAACAGGGCUGUGCUGUCUCUCCUUCAGCACCACAGUCCCCGCACCCUGGCCUACGGCUGCGACACAUCCUUGUCUUUGAGGCUGAGCCGACAGAAAUUUCUUCUUCCAGUUUGAGAAUGACCAGUCAGCUAUGUUCCCGGCUCCUCUUGCAUUUAUUGGAACCUGCUUACCCAACAAUCCACAAAGGAGCUUACACGGAGGAAAGUGAAGCUGUGGGAACGCGCCCAACCCUCUAUUAAUACUGGUCUAUUGGAGACCCCUCCUGGCCACGCUGUGAGAGCCACUGACUCCCAAGGCCCGGGUCCCCACUCCCCCCUCCGGCCCCGCCCCCAGCCGGGCCCCCUGUGCGGAAGCAGCAGCAGGGGGUCCUGAUCCCGGGUGAGCCCCGUGCAGCCCAGCCGGGAGCUGAGCCGGGAGCGCAGAGGCUGCCACUGACCGUGACGAUCUCCAGCACUUCGUUCUUGCUGAUGCUGCCAUUGCCAUCUACAUCGUAGAGGGAGAAGGCCCACUCCAGCUUCUGGUUGGUCUUGCACAUGCUGGUCAUGUGCAGGGCGAUGACAUACUCCUUGAAGUCCAAGGUGCCAUCGCUGUUGGCAUCGAAGCUGCGGAACACGUGCUGGGCGUAGGCCUUGGGGUCGGCGUCGGGGAAGAACUUGGAGUAGAUGGUCUGGAACUCCUGCUGGGUGAUGCGGCCACUGGGACACUCCUUCAGGAAGGACUGGUACCAGGUACUCAGCUCUUCCUCUGUGAACCUGGUGUUCAGCUGCAGCUCCUCCAGGAUCUCCUUGGACAGGGCUCCGCUUUUGCUGUUCCCCAUGGGUGAGCAGGUGUGGGCCCAGCCGGUCUGUCGCCGCUGGGUGGGUGGGUGUGUGGGAGGAAUGGGGUCUCCGGGCUGCCUGGCUGGGUGCUGCUGGAGGCGGUUGCACCCUGAGAUGCUGGUGGAUUAGGCGGAUUUGUGUCUGGUUCACCCCUGUACUUGGAGGGAGGAGGGGCCCGGAGCUUGAGUGGGGAGACGAGCUCCCAGAAGCCCCCUGAGAUUAAAAUAAAGAGCUGACAGCAGGAGGUCAAUCCCUCUUGGCCUUCUGGGAGGAUAGGACAGGUGAUCCGAAUCUUCAGAGCCGCAGCCUUGAGCCGAGGCCUUUCCCACUGCCCCUCACCCAUCCCUGCGCCAACUUACCCCACCAGCUCUAGCUCUCUAAGAGCAACGAUGUUCCCUGCCUGCCUUCUGAGGGUCUCAGCGACAGGGAUGGCCCUGUAAUGCAGGGGUCAGGAGUCAGGCUCUGGAAGCAGCCCAGCUUUGCAAUUCACUUUGCAAUUUCAAAUCUCAGCUUUGCAAUUCACUAGCUGUGUGACCCCAGGUGCGUUUCUUAACGUCUCUCUGCCUAGAAUUCUCUUCCCCUAAUCUUUCACCUCCUUCAUGGCUUUCCUUAAAUGUCGCCUUCUCAGCCAGGCCUAUAGUGACCAUUCUGUCAACAAGAGCACCCCAACCGUCAGGCUGUUUAUCCUGCUUGACUGCUCUUCCUUGAUCGCACGUGCACCUUCUGACUUACUGUUUACGUAUUCUGCCUGCUGCCUGGGAUCGCACCAGAAUGAAAGCGCCAUGAAGGCGGGGAUUCUAUCUAUUUUGUUGCCCGCUGCAUCUCCAUCGACAGAAGGGUAUCUGGCGGGUUUGGGCCCUCAGUGACUAUUCUUUGAGUGAACAGGCAUGAUAAUAGCGUCUCUCCCACUGUUAUUGUGAGGCUGAAACGAGUUAAUACGUGCAAUGCAUUUAGAACAGAGCCUGGCACGUAGUAAGAGCUGAACGCAUGUUAGUUUUUGCCAUUCUUCUUCUAUGACAGGGAUCAAAAACUAAACUGCUUACAGGGGCCAGCAAGUGGAGUGUGUGAGUGAAGCCGGGGGUCAGGGAGGCAGUAGGCGUGGUGAGGCCCACGCCUGCAUGGCAGGGGCUGCCAGUGUUUGACUCCAUUUGAAUGUGGUCAGAUGGGAUUAUGGCCUGGUGUUACUAGAUUUUUUGGUAAGCCAAAAGAAAUCCAGAAAUCAGAUUUUCAGGUUUGAAAUUUCCAAAUUUGGAAAUUUGGAAAAAAUUGGAAAUUUGCAAUUUCCAAACUUUAAGAGUGAUUUCCAAAUUUUCAAAAAUUUUCAAAAGCAUAGGGUGGGAUAAAUAUAACUUAUCUGUGGCUCCGUUUCAGCAGCAGGUCAUCAGUUUGCAACCAAGCCUGGUGCCAGGAGCUGGCAGACAACAUGCUUGUUGAGUGAGUGACUGGACAAGCAGGGGACAGGGAGCUCCACCAGGGGAGGCUUCCGCCGCUGCGGUCAGCUCGGUCAGCAGGACAGGCCACAGGGAAGAGCCCUUGUGAGUAGGUCUGCACCUGAAAUCGCAUCACCCAAAGGAGAGGUCGGUGGCGCCCUGGCUUGGCUGGCAUAACGCCUGGAACCCCAGAAUCGCCAUCUUGGACAGGAGAGAUGUCUCUUCUUUGUCCAGGGGUGGUAACCAUAAAGAAUGAAGCCCACAGUGUCUAGGCGGACUUUCACUAUCUUGCAGCAUUUGUUCUCCAGAGCAGUUGGAAACAGGACAGUCACUGGACUCAAAAACAAACAAACAAACAAAAGCCAGGCCAUGAAAGUGAGGCCAGAGGCCUUCACCCUGGCCUCUGAACCUGGCAUGGGAGGUGAUUAGAAGUGCCUCCUGGGUAUCCACACCGAGACUGCAGGUGAGGCGAGGCCGAUGUCACAGGAAGAAACCAAGCUCCAAAAGGAUGUCACCUGCCUGUGUCACACAGUUGCCAAAUGGCGAAGCCAGGAGGAAAGCCCAGGGCAGCCUCCCCACUGAGGGCUCUUUCCAAGACAUUACAGCCGCCUCCCUUCUCAAGGAGGCCUGAGCAGAGGGGUCAAGAAGCCGCAUUUCUGAAGGUGAGGACCUGGGUUGCCAUGACGACGGAAGAGGCGGGUAAGGAGGCAGGGCCCCGGCUUAACACAGAAGGCAGCCAGAGCUCCCUCAGUCCCUCUGCCCUUCCCAAGGGCAAGGAGGAAGGCGCAGGUACUGUCCACAUUCUUCAGGUUGCUGUGCCCAGGAGGGGCCCAACCGUGGGAGGGGACCACAGGCAGCUGUGUUGAUGCUGCCGAGAGAGGGGUCAUGACCUGGAGGUUUGUUUGAAAACCUGAAUAAACAUCUUCUAUCAGAGGGAGAGUUUAUGCUCCUUAGCCAAACAAGUUGUUGGGGAUGAUGUAUUGUGAACGGAUUUGUUAAGUCUGAGCCGGGGCCAUAAACUCUCCCCGAACCCCUAAGACCACUGGGGAGAAGGCCUCGUCUCCAGCCAGUGACUCUGUGUCUCCCUCUCCCGGCCUGGCCUUCACUGAAAGACACAGGCUCUUCCCAGGGGCUGGCCCUGUUCCACCCCAAGCUGGGAGUCCCCCAGCUCCCAUCCCGUUCCUCUACCUUCCCCUGCGUGAGCUGAACGGCAAGCGGACCCUUCGACCCCGGCCAGGAAGCAGAGAGCUAGAAAAUAAGUUCCAUGAGGUCAGGGUUCUUGAUCUGUUUUCAUCACUGAUGUGUUCCCAGUACUGAGAGCAGUGUCUGACAUACAGUGGUGUUCAAUAAUUAUUGGAUGGAUGGAUGGAUGGGUAAGAGAAGAAAUAACAGCCAGGAGCCUCUUCCGUUCACAGGGGUCCAAGGAGGAACUACCUCAUUCUCAACAGCUCACGAAACUCGUAAGUUUUUGUGUCUGAACAGAGAAGCGCCUGGGUAUCCCUCUCAUGAGGGUGUUAGGUGACAUCACGCACAGCCGUGCUGACGGGACACAGAUUGGGCAUGACGUGGGCACAGGGUACAAAACUGGAGGUGCCAAGGGGAGGAGACAGAACGCAGCAGCUGGAGGAGGCCUGGGAGACCGUCUAGAACGAACACCUUCAGUUUGCCGAUGAAGGAACAGAGAUCCAGGAGAGGGUGGUGAUGGGCUCCCUGUCUUCUCAUCCACGCUCCCUCCACCCACCUUCCACACCCUCUAACCCUCACCAAAUGGCAGGGACUGGGCGAGUUGAAGGGAGGGUCCCCCGAAGCAAGCAGAACUACCAGCUGAGAUGCCAGCGGAAAUGGAGGGCAGUGGAGACCCUGCCCGCCCCCUCCCCCCGCCACGAUCCGAAAACGCAGGCGUGAGCCCCAAGAACCGCUCGUGGGCGCCGCUGGCUGAAAGCAGCUGUGCAAACGAGCUUAAGACCCCAGGCCAGGAACUUCGGGGGCAGACAACUCAUUUUAAAAGCAAGGAAGCAGUGGGGAGCACCCAUGCAACGGACCGCUACUCGGAGAUAGAAGGGGACAAGCUCCUGACAUCCAGCCACAAGGUGACUCAGAGGCAACGGGCCGAGUGACGGAGGCCAGACUCUAAGGCUGCUGCAGUGUGGCUCCACUUCUACGACAUUCUAGAAAAGGCGAAUCUGCAGGGUCAGAAAAUCCAUCAGUGGUCACCAGGUGCUGGGGGUGGGAGGAGUGGAUGGACAUCAAAGGAGCCUGAGGGGAUGUUCUGGAGUGAUGGAAAUACCAUGUUGAUUUCGGUGCUGGUUACAAGGCUGUGUACCUUUGUCAAAAUUCACUGAACUGUAGACUUCAAAAGGGUGAAUUAUACUGUAUGUCAAUGAAUCCCCGAUACCAAACGUCAAAGAUCUCAAUAAACUUGUAAAAAGAAAAGGCAGGGGGACUUGUAGGGGCGGGGAGGUUUAUGGAAAUAAGACAGUAUGCCGGCUAAGGAAGCCGGCCGCUGGUCUGCGCCCCACUUAACAUUUGUCCGAGGCUUUCCCCACCUACAUAGUCAGCAGCAGGUCUGCAGAAUCCUGUUUAAACUCUCCUUGUCAAGGCCACUCACAGCUGCAAGUAAAAUCACUUAAACAAGCUGAGGUCUUUGACGUCCUUUGAAUUUCAUGGCUUGAACUGCCAAGAAGGGGGCUUUGGCUCCACCAGGAUUUCUCUGCACCCAUCCCCUAAUCUCGUAAUGGAUUGGUUUUCACAAAGGGAACAGAAACAAACCCCUGGUUCCUGAGUUUGCUUCGAUCAUUAAUCAGCCCCAGUGAAAGGAGGCCCAAGGCGGUUCCACGGGCAGAACCUUGGGGCAGCCGUCCCUGUGGCUCAGCUGGCCAGGGCUUUGCAAUACUGAUCAAAAGCAAGAGAAAAAAAAAAUGGAGAGGAACAAGUAGCUUUUCCUGGAGGUUUUCGUGGCAACUCACUUUUGUUUUAGAGACUGUUUUGUAAAAAAUCAGGGCUAUCACAGACAAAACGAAGUGCACCCGUGUCUCCCAGGUAGAAGAGGCUCACCUGUCCUCAGAAAUGGAACAACGGAUGUGCUCAAGGAUGGCCUGGGGCCACUCACCCUGAAUCAAGCCAGGCAGACCCUCCUAUAACCUACGCGGAGUAGGCGGAGUGCCUGUCUGGUACGCAGCUACAUUUCUAGUACCGGCACAAUGCCUGGCUUGCCCCAAGUGUCUGCCGAUUAAAUGAAUGAAUGAGUGAAUGAGGGAACGAAUGAAAGAAGAGCUAUCAGCACAACAGACAGUGUCUCUGCAAACCUAAAUUCUGCAGCGAGUACCUGUAUGUGAAUGCCAAAGUUACUGACCUGCAAGACCCCUGGAGAAAAGACAAGUCUAUACCAAACAAGAGACUGUGGGCUUCCCGGAUGACAGGGCCAUACCUUGUCCCUAGAUCUUAGCACAUUGCCCAGGCUCAGCUAAAUGCCUGAUGAAUGAAUAAACGAGGGAAGAAAAAAGAAAAAGAUGUGGAAGGGCUAACGAAACCGAGAGAAAAGGAUGAGGGGGAAAGAAUGACUUCAGAAAAUAGACUGGCCCACAAGGGGCCAACUUGGGCUACCCUGAGAGAGGCAAGAGAGCCCCAGGGAAGCACAGAAGACUCCGGAAUCCUCAGAUGGGGAUGAGAAAACAAAAUCAACGAGCGAUAUCACACUUAAAGUAUCUGCGUUAAUAACAAGGCUGUUGGCUUUGAAUGUCGGGAAAUCGCCCACAAAUUAGUUUAGCAAGCCACAAAGCAAUUACUACUAGCACCGAUCUUUGACAGAGAAACCAAAGAAAUGAUAUCCCCAAGCUGGCAGCUGGUGUCAUGGCCCAACUUCAGACCAGGAGUGGUUCUCCAUGCCAGACACACAUCCGUCCUGCUGGCCUCCAUGUUGGUGAAGGCCUUCCUGCUGACCUUUCUGGUUGGGAUGUUUCAAUAAAGAAACUGGCAAAGCUUGGUUUGCUUUAGGCUAUACGGCAUCUUUCUACCGUAACUACGAGGCCGCCACAGUGACUCAAAAGGCAGAGGUGCCAAAAGAGUCAAGAAUAACAAGUCAUCGGUUACCAGCAUGGACGGCAGAGAGAAGGACCAGUGAGUUACCUCAGACGUCUGCCCUCACGAGAAACACGUGAGUCCUGUGAAUCCAAAGUAAUCAAGGGAAAGAUUAACGGGAAAGAUGGGUUCUCAGGGUGCGGGUUCCGGGCCAGAACGUGCCCCUUGCAAGCCGUCUGACCUCCUUCAGCCCUUUUCUUCCUCCCGUGGCCUCGAGCUGCUUCUCAAGAUUUAACACGUAAGGGAGAAAGUGAUGAGUGAGGACCCGAUGGCGGUGCCAAAGCUUCCCAGGUCACGCUCAGACCAGGCUCUCCCAGGAAUGGGGAGGUGGGCAAAGGGCAAGGGGGUAGCAGCACCAAGCAGGGGCUCCGUGCGGGGAUUUGAAACGUGCAGGAGCUGAGAGGCCAAGGUGCCAGACUGCCUGGUGACACGUACUGCGGCUACGAGAGUCUGCGAUGCCUGCACAGUGCCUGCCAGUGAGAGCCAUACACGAGACGGUGGUCCCGACCCCGCUGUGCCUAGGCAGGUGGGGCCAUCUGGGGGGCGACAGACACUUGCCCCAACCCAUCUCCAACACGGGACUGACCCAGCCCCCAGGACAAGCGAGGGUGGAAGAGGGAGCUCACCCGAGGAAGCGGCUGUGGGCUGGGUGGACGGGGCUGCCCAGAGACAGCACGUGACAUUGAUGCCCGAUCUAAUAGGAAACACGAUUCAAUGCUCCAACUUGGGGCGAAUUUGCUGAAUGAGGUAGUUCCCUCCUGACCUCUGCAGGCAGGGUCGGUCUGGGAAAACAGGAGGCAGGCAUUCUUCCCAAGACUCCCAGUGAUGAAAAGCAGCAGAGAAGAGCCAGGAUGUGGGCUCCCAGAAUAUGCAAUGGGAAAAAACAAAGAGGGAGGGCUGCUGCAAAGGAUUCUGGGUGCGGGCUGUUGAGCUGAAAGGUGCCUUCUAUCCACGAUUCUGAUCCUGACACUUGGCUUGGAGACAGAGACCUCUCUCCCCCGCCCUUCCAAAGCCCUGGAGACAAGCGGGCUGGCUGGAGGAAGGGCCUUGGGGCUUCCAGGGGCGUGAGCGUGUGACACAGCUGGCUCUGGGUGGGGAGGGGACCUCUCUGGUGCUCAGCAGGGACCACAACGUUCCAGCCUCGGUUUGUUCUCGGAGUGGCAAGCACGGCAUGGGACUUGGGGGGGCUUCAACCUCGGAGACAAGGGCAGGGCUGUGGAUCCAUCUUCUCGGCCUGGGAACACUGAGGAGCUCCCCACGGGGCCAUCCGGGCCGCCCUUCUGGCUUCACUGUCCCCUCUCCUCAGUGGACCAGGAGAGCGGGUGGGAGAGCAGCCCCGCUUGGGAGCAGGUCCCCCCCUGGCAGGAGUGCCACCUCCUCUGCGUGGGACCCCAGCCCCUCCUCGGCAGGACCCCCCAGGCCGUGUGUCUAGAUCUCCAUGUCCACGGGGCGGAUGUUGCCCGUCUUGUGCUCCCUGACCCACAGCUCCCUGUCUUUGGCUGGGUCCACUUUUCGAAGCAGUUGGUCCACAGGCUCGACUGUCUGCAAGGGAUAGAGAAGAGGGAUAUCUUCAGAGGCAGCGGCCGAGCCAGGGACAUAUCCUCUGAACCACGCUGCUUACACCCUCGUGCCCGUCAGAGCAGCCUCUCUAGAGGGCUGUGAGGCCCCGGGGAGGCCCGUGCGAGGGACAGACGUGGCAGGGGCUGGAAGACCCGGGGGCCUGAAGCUCUGGCCUCUGCCCUGCUUUCCCUCGUGCAUGUGACCCUCCAGACGUCAGGGUGGAUGAAAGGGCAGGUGGCCCAAGGGUCUGUGACCUGUUUCUCCUUCCAUCAGUCUCCACAUUUACCACCUGAGAACAGGUCAAAUGGAACGUCGGCCUGAGAGGUUUUGAAUAGUUCCAGCAUCGUAAGAAAUUCGCCAGGGGAGGCAAGGACAUCUCCAGCUAUUUUAACUAUCGUGACGCAUCUACGUGAUGCACUCGGGAUGGAUUCACGUGGACAUCCAGGGUAACUGACAUGUCCAUCCCAAGAGGUCACCCACAGGCCCGAGCCCGUGCCCACCUGCCAGACAGAUUCACCUGUAGCAGCUCCUUGACCUGCCACCACGGCACAGGGCCAUGGCUCUCCCCGGCCCCAUGCCCCCCAGGGGCCCCGCUGGCCUCGGCCCGGGGAACUCACGCUUUGGUUGAACAUGUCCGUCUCGUGCCGCAGCUGCGUGUACUGGCACAGAUGCUGCCGGAUCAUCUCCACCCUCUCCACCUCCAGCCGUUCCAGCUCCUGCAGAGGAGGAAACCGGCAGAGACCUCUGGGGGUGUCCCUUCCACCUGGGGACCUUCCCCACCAUGCGGGUCCCACACCCCCCUAUACACAAAACACAGAUGCUGCCUGCUUAUCCCCCAUCCUGCCUGACCCUCUGGGGUCUGACGAGGAACCCACCCCGUAUCUGGGAGUGAAGGUGUAGCUGACGGCACAGCAGUUACUGUCUCCUGACUCUCGUUCUGCCAGGCGUGGUGGGUGCUAAGGGCUUUACGGGCACUGCUUAAUUGUCCUCAUCAUAACUAUAAGAGGUUCUCUUCUUACCCACAUUCUCCAAACAAGGGAAUGAACACCUGCAGAGGUAACAUCGCUUGCCCACAGCGACAGGGAAUUAUGGGAGCAGCGGCAUUUGCACCAGGGUCUGUCGUGCCCUUAAUCACGCGUCUGCACCGGUGCAGCCCCAGCCCCAGCCCCUGAUGGCGUGGAGAGAUGGAACACGUGCAGAAGCUUCUGCACCUCCAACUCUUGGGGCUUUGUCCCCGGGCCUCUGCUGAGCGGCCUCGUCUCCUCUGUCCACCCCAAGCGCUGAGGGGCAGGUCAAGGGAGCCAGGAGGGCCGGGAGCAGGGUGGCCACUGUCAAAGGGAAGCGCGGAGUGUUUGCCCUUUGGAUCCUAGGUGGCCCCGCAUCUUUGGAAUUUAGGAGAUCUGGCUGCUCUUCUGUGCACAACUAGGUCACUGUUCAGGUGAUUAACCUGGGCGCAGGAAGUAAAGCAGGGAGUUUAAUUAGGAGAUUAACCAGGAGGAAAACGAGGUCACUGUGCCCGGGGGAGGCCUCUAAUCUGCUCUGGUGGACUGGCACCUGGGGAAGGCGGAGGGUUAGUCUCAUGCUGGACAGACAGAUGGACGGCGGUGGCUUGGGGGCCGCGGGACGGUGUGGUAAGCACCUGGCAUGAUGCCUCCUUUCUCAUCUGGCCCCACGACCCACGUGCCAACCCCGCUUCACCCCCUUCAGCGGGUGCUGACUUCACAGAAAUACUCAACUUGGUUAUUUUUCCUAAAGGGACCACUGUCUGCUUGGUUGACGCUGACCCCUCGGAGGAUGCAGCACGAGCGCAUCGUCGCCCGUGUUCACACAGCUAGGAAGUACCGGGGCAGGGAUCUGAGUCCACACAGGCUGGUCCGGAGUUGAGGUCUCAGUCCCAACACUAGAGCAGAUCUAAUGACCAUCUCCACGGUCACCUCCACCCCAUUGCCUGCACAUCCACCACCAUCCACCCAGGGAUUCCUGAGCGCCCGCCCCUGCACGGACAAGCGUAUGCAUCUCUGGUCACUCACCAACGUGGUGGUCACCAUCUCUUCAAACCACUUGGACUGGGCCUGGUUGUAGAGGUCCACACAGCGCAUGAGGUCAUCUCCUGGAAGGGCCAAGGCCACUGUCAUACUCUGUCCUGUCCUCACCAUGGCCGCCUUCUCCCACCUGCACCCCACAGCCAGGGUGAUGGAGGCCACCGGAAAAGUUGCGGGGUGGAGAGGAUGAACAGAGCAAGAGAAGGGGGCAACCCAGCCUUACGAGAGGCUGGCUUCAGAGUGUCUAUCUGAACUAGACUCCAGACACCAAAACUCAGGAAGGGGUUUUCUCAGUAAGAAUAUAUAUAUGGUAGGGGUGGGGGGGUACUCCUAGGACCCCCAACUCUAUCAUGAGCCCAAGAAAUGCUUCCUCUUCUAAAGAUGGGAGUUUCAUUUCACAUUGGAGAGUCCUGCUUGGUUGACACAUGUGUCUCAAGCAACUUGCUACUAGUUAGAGUUAAAGAAGGGAAGUUUGCAAAUCACGUGUGUGUGUGUGCGUGU